CACCUAUCUUUGGAUAGAAGCGAGUGGCGAACGGCUGAGCAACACGUGGAGAACCUGCCCCCUCCCCCGGGAUAGCCGCCCGAAAGGACGGGUAAUACCGGAUACCCCGGGGUGCCGCAUGGCACCCCGGCUAAAGCCCCGACGGGAGGGGAUGGCUCCGCGGCCCAUCAGGUAGACGGCGGGGUGACGGCCCACCGUGCCGACAACGGGUAGCCGGGUUGAGAGACCGACCGGCCAGAUUGGGACUGAGACACGGCCCAG
This 261-nucleotide ribosomal RNA is filed under the name uncultured bacterium. Its description in RNAcentral is "partial 16S ribosomal RNA". It matches the Rfam family "Bacterial small subunit ribosomal RNA", at positions 70 to 334 of the family's 1533-position model. The record is from RNAcentral.